GCUAUUCAAGAAGCGAGGGGUAAUCCCUUAAGAGGCCCCUUGAAAGCCUUAAAACAUCAUUUCCGACAAUCUGAGUCAAAGACCUCAAAUGAUUAAGAAGCAAAAAGUGACCCUAUAAGAAGACCUUUGAAAAGUCCCUUGUACAGGAGGUGAGUUGAGCUAAAAAUUUUGACCAUUUGAGAAGUGAGGGGUAACACCAUAAGAAAAUCCUUGAAGCCCUAAAAUCUCAUCUAUGAUGAUUUAGACCAAAGACCUAGGAUGUCCAAGAAGCGAGAGAUAGCUCCAUAAGAGGAUCCACAGGUAGUCCCUUAUCGCUAAGACAAGUUGAGCUAAAAAAUUUGACUAUCCAAAAGUGAGGGGUAACUGUAUAAGAGGGCCCUUAAAAGUCUUAAAAUAUUAUCUCUGAUAAUCCAGAUCGAAGAUCUUGGAUGACUAAGAAACGAAGGAUAACCCCAUAAGAGGACCCCUAAAAAGUCCCUCAUCCUGAAAAUGAGUUGAGCUGAAAUUCAAUCUUGGCUAUUUGAGAAUCGAAGGGUAACCCCAUAAGAGAACACUCAAAAGUCUUAAAAUAUCUUCUCUAAUGAUGACAACCCAAUCUAGAGUAGCCCUGAGCCCUAAGAUGAGUAGAGCUACGAAUAACUAUGGUGGAAAGAAAUCCUAGGAUUUGGUGAUCCGUCUAUGUUCUAGAAUUAAUUUGAUACAUGAUAUUUUUUUUUCUAGAGAAAAAGGAGAAAGAGAGGGCUUGUAAAGAAGAAAGAUUAUUGAUGAUCUUUAUUUCUUCUUAUGCCUCUCUUUUUAUAGACUAGGAGCAGACGGUUACAAAAGUAGAAUCUCUUGGGUAAUUUUGGAUUCAAAAUACUAAAAUAGAAUCUCUUGGAUAAUUUUGGAUUCAAAAUACAAAAAUAGAAUUUUUUGAAUAAUUUUGGAUUCAAAACUUAUGAGAAAUUAUUUAGAUCCACCAUUUAUGGUGAAUUGAUUUUUUGCCUUCCCAAUCCACCCAAGAUUUUUUUUCUUCUUGCAUUUCGGGUUACCCAUUUUGUGCGGCCUGAUUUUCUCUUGAUCCUCCC
RNAcentral lists this long non-coding RNA (1067 nucleotides) under Elaeis guineensis (African oil palm). RNAcentral's name for it is "long non-coding RNA (EGUI_LNC036785)". The record is from RNAcentral. Lineage: Eukaryota; Viridiplantae; Streptophyta; Magnoliopsida; Arecales; Arecaceae.